Armigeres subalbatus is the source of this 603-nucleotide long non-coding RNA. RefSeq lists it as uncharacterized. The transcript is spliced from 2 exons. The record is from RefSeq and is a predicted model, not a curated record. NCBI's taxonomy places the organism in Eukaryota, Metazoa, Arthropoda, Insecta, Diptera, Culicidae.
GGAGGAACCGCCUGAGUUGCGGAUGAGGGCGCAGAUAACACAUAAGGUCAAUAAUUGCUGGUGAUGACGAGGCUUCAACGCUGGCGUUUGCCCUAAAGACAGCAUUGCCAGCGGACGUUAAUGUAGCUGCUCCAUAGCAUUAAUCGCAUCUCUUGAUCUCCAACCGGGUUCUCGAGUGCUGCGAUUCCUGAUUGGGCUUGAAUUACGGUGAUAGUCGUCCUUGUUGGUAGUAUCUUGGAUCGGACCCGAUGAUCUUGAGAAGCUUGACCAGAUCACGCAGCAGAUUUCGGAUUCGAUUCGCGGUUACUCAACUGGGAUUACUGAUCCACAUCUACGUCAACUAGCUGGAUUGGCAGGUUAUGAGUGAGUGCAACAUCCUGAGUGCAACAACUUUUCGGUAGUGACUUUGGUUUUGGUUCCGUGUUGAGGCACAAGAAAGUUCAAGUUCCGGAGGAAAUGGGCCACGCGCAACUCAUGUGGAUAAGGAACGUGCGCGCCUGGAGACCGCCUGUCCAGCUGUUUUCACGUACGGCCACAAUUCCUUCCUUGACCUGAAAACAGUUUUUAUUAAUAAUAAACCAAUAAAUCAUUAAUUUCAAAUUA